Molecule: non-coding RNA, 2406 nt
Organism: Phalacrocorax carbo (great cormorant)
Lineage: Eukaryota; Metazoa; Chordata; Aves; Suliformes; Phalacrocoracidae
Source: RefSeq, a predicted model, not a curated record
UGUAGAAAAGGAGCAGGAUGAGGAAGAGGAGGGUUCCCUGCCACAUUGGCUGCAGAGCCCAGCGCAGGCUCAUGUUCUCCCCACCACCCUGUUUCACGUGCCCAUCCCAGGACCUGUGUGAUGAUGCAAGAAGGCAGGAGGCUUUGCUGUGGUUACUGAAGUCCCAGGGACCCGCGGAUUCCACCUGCUCCCUGGAAUUGAUUCAGCUCCAGCACUGCCCCAUCCCAGCUGCUGGUCCUGGAGGGCGGAGGGAAGGUGCGACGCUGAGGCAGGAAAACCAGCCACCUCUGGAAGGCCCCUCUGCUGUAGACGGAGCGUCCUGCAUGAAGGACUGUAAAACCAGAGCUGAUGCAUGCCCAGAAAUUACACUGAUUUAAUGGAGCUGGUUUGUAGAUUCGUUUGUAGCCGUGUGCCAACUGCUGCAGCGAUUGAACUAAACUGAUUUCCUUGAGGGAUUUCUCGUUUGGGCCGCUCUGCUGCCAGUCCGGCCGGGCAGUUUAGUUCCUUGUUCCCACAGGAUUGUGCCUGGGUUAAAGAGUCUGUUUUCACCCCAGAGAGAUGCUAGCCCAGGAUGGGGAUGGCAGCUCCAAGGUUUGUCUUGCCUCCCCUGUUUAUAGCUUGUACAACACAGGGCUGUGUGCAGGGACACUGUCCCCAUGGCGAGGGGACAGCCAGGGUCUGGGCGAGGGCUGGGGGUUAUAUUGCAGCACCGAGGCUGAGCAGGGAAUUUGGGCUCUGCAUCACGCUCACGCCUGGGCUCUGACAGGCAGAAACGUGGGCAGUGCACGUGAGUCCAGAACUGAGACCGUUGCAGAAGAAAUCCCUGCUAAGCAGCCAAGAUCUUAAUUUUUUCCACCCAAAUAAAACCUCAGCCAGAAAACAGGCUGUAUCCAGGGCAACGCCGGUGCCUCGCAGCUUGGGUUUGCUGAGAUCCGAUCUGGGAUCCCUUUGGACCAGCACUGGGGUAGGAUGGCUCUGGUUAUCACUCGGGUCUGCCUGGAGGGGAUGGGAGAGGCUCGGGGGGUUUAGGGGGGUCUCCCGAGGCUCCCCCAGAGCCUCACGGAGAUGCUCCACUGCCAUCUAGUGACAACGGCACCUCGGAGAGGGAAGGACGGUGGCACCGGCCCUGAUGAGCCCAGCCGGAGGCAGCGGGUCCAGCCCACUCCCCCCAGGGAAUGCAGCCUCCGGGGGUCUGGGUGUGGAGCUGAACCACCUCCCCGGGGAAAGGAGGUUUCUCCAUCACCACUGAUUUCCUCCCCGCAAGGACAGAGCGUUUCCCUGCUGUCCUCCCCUGUGCAACCUGCUGCAGGCACCUGCCUGGGUGAGCCUGGCAUCACUGGAGGGGAAACGGCUUCUCCAGCCCUGGCUGUCCAAACAUAACGUGCUCAGGCUCCAAACAUCUCCAGAUCAGGCUAUUGCAUUUUAAAAACUUGCCUUUUCCAACGGAGCUAAUGGGAACAAGGUGCCUGUGCAUCUCUGGCCAUAGGUACCCAAUCCCCUCCAGCGCCUUGGACACGCCACAGCCUCCUGGAGCAUCUCUCCACCACCUCCCCCCUCCCUUCCCUCAUCAACACUGAAAUUAUUUAGUGCCUUUAACAUAAUUAACACGUUGGAAUCCUAAACUGCUCGCAGCUGCCCGGCCUUGCAAUUUAUCCUUCCACCCAGCCAUUAAUGCCUUCCUCCAGGCAAUUAUAAAGCAGAAAAAUGCUGCAGACCUGAGCCCGAUGCUGGAGGAAAAGGAAGAAAUGGGGCAGGGGACCUGCGUGCGUUAAUAUAAUUAACCACCGCGAUCCCAAAUUGCUUGGCGGCUGCCUGGCUCCGUAAUUCAUCCGUCCACAGAGCUGUUAAUGUGACCAUAGGGGCUGUUAGCGCACACGUGUGUGCAAAUGUGUGCGCGAGGCUGCCAUGUUGUCUCUGUCCCCUGCUUUUUGGGGGAGAUUUCCCUCCCAGCAUCAUCUCCCCAGACACAUCUCGCCCCUCCAUUUGCCACCUGAAAUCACAGCAGCUGCUGUACGAUUAUACGCCUCUGUUCCGUAAUUACUUUUCCUUAUGCUAAUUGUGUAAUUGGGAGAGGCGAUUACCUGGUGAAGUGCGAUAGGAAGAAGGGCUGGUGCGCUCUCCCAGCAUGGCUGCUCGUGGGAUCCCUCCCCAGCUGGUCCUGGGGUAAAUCAGGAGGAGGGUCCCUGUCCCUCUUGUGGAGGGGACCCCUGUGUUUGCAGCGCGGUGCCUCAGCCACGUCCUGCUCACACGGCAGCUGAGGGCACACCUUUCCAAUCACCCUUUUUUCUUCCUCUUUUACUGCCCAAACUCCUGACCCUCGGGGUUUUCCCCAGCAGUGGUGGCUCCCCCCGAGUAUCAGCCUCUGCCCCCAACCUCACGCGUGCCAGCUGCCAGAUUCCCUGUGUC